AGAUUGAACGCUGGCGGCAGGCCUAACACAUGCAAGUCGAGCGGUAGAGAGGUGCUUGCACCUCUUGAGAGCGGCGGACGGGUGAGUAAUGCCUAGGAAUCUGCCUAGUGGUGGGGGAUAACGUUCGGAAACGGACGCUAAUACCGCAUACGUCCUACGGGAGAAAGCGGGGGACCUUCGGGCCUCGCGCCUUUAGAUGAGCCUAGGUCGGAUUAGCUAGUUGGUGA
Molecule: ribosomal RNA, 227 nt
Filed under: uncultured soil bacterium
Lineage: Bacteria
Description: partial 16S ribosomal RNA
Rfam family: Bacterial small subunit ribosomal RNA
Source: RNAcentral